UAGUUUGAUCAUGGCGUCAGGAUGAACGCUAGCUACAGGCUUAACACAUGCAAGUCGAGGGGCAGCGCGGCGUAAGCUUGCUUCCGCUGGUCGGCGACCGGCGCACGGGUGCGUAACGCGUAUACCCUAACCUUGCCCUUGGUCCCGGGAUAGCCCUACGCGAAAGCGAGAAUAAUACCCGGUGUAGGCCACGGUUCCGCAGUUGGGAGUUAGUGGUCGAGUUAGGGUCCGGCCGGACAAGG
RNAcentral lists this ribosomal RNA (242 nucleotides) under uncultured bacterium. RNAcentral's name for it is "partial 16S ribosomal RNA". It matches the Rfam family "Bacterial small subunit ribosomal RNA", at positions 9 to 224 of the family's 1533-position model. The record is from RNAcentral.